UUGCAAUGAUGUAUGAAUUUCUUCACCUGAAAUACAAACUGAAGAGCAAACUAUACGAGCUUUUUAACACUGAGCUAU
Small nucleolar RNA from Pelusios castaneus (West African mud turtle), 78 nucleotides. The record is from Ensembl. NCBI's taxonomy places the organism in Eukaryota, Metazoa, Chordata, Testudines, Pelomedusidae.